GGACAACCUGCCCUCGGGUGGGGGGAUAACCCCGGGAAACUGGGGCUAAUCCCCCAUAGGGGAUGGGUACUGGAAUGUCCCAUCUCCGAAAGCGCUUAGCGCCCGAGGAUGGGUCUGCGGCGGAUUAGGUUGUUGGUGGGGUAACGGCCCACCAAGCCGAAGAUCCGUACGGGCCAUGAGAGUGGGAGCCCGGAGAUGGACCCUGAGACACGGGUCCAGGCCCUACGGGGCGCAGCAGGCGCGAAACCUCCGCAAUGCGGGAAACCGCGACGGGGUCAGCCGGAGUGCUCGCGCAUCGCGCGGGCUGUCGGGGUGCCUAAAAAGCACCCCAUAGCAAGGGCCGGGCAAGGCCGGUGGCAGCCGCCGCGGUAAUACCGGCGGCCCGAGUGGCGGCCACUUUUAUUGGGCCUAAAGCGUCCGUAGCCGGGCUGGUAAGUCCUCCGGGAAAUCUGGUCGCUUAACGAUCAGACUGCCGGAGGAUACUGCCAGCCUAGGGACCGGGAGAGGCCGGGGGUAUUCCCGGGGUAGGGGUGAAAUCCUGUAAUCCCGGGAGGACCACCUGUGGCGAAGGCGCCCGGCUGGAACGGGUCCGACGGUGAGGGACGAAGGCCAGGGGAGCGAACCGGAUUAGAUACCCGGGUAGUCCUGGCUGUAAACGAUGCGGACUAGGUGUCACCGAAGCUACGAGCUUCGGUGGUGCCGGAGGGAAGCCGUUA
Molecule: ribosomal RNA, 716 nt
Filed under: uncultured archaeon
Lineage: Archaea
Description: bacterial SSU rRNA
Rfam family: Archaeal small subunit ribosomal RNA
Source: RNAcentral